CAAGAGCGUAUGUAAAAGUUGUUGCAGUUAAAAAGCUCGUAGUUGAACCUUGGGUUUGGUUGGCCGGUCCGCUUUUUUGCGAGUACUGGAUUCAACCGAGCCUUUCCUUCUGGCUAACCAGUCGUUUCGGCGGCUGGCGAACCAGGAUUUUUACUUUGAGAAAAUUAGAGUGUUCAAAGCAGGCAUUAGUUUGAAUAUAUUAGCAUGGAAUAAUAGAAUAGGACGUUAUGGUUCUAUUUUGUUGGUUUCUAGGACCAUCGUAAUGAUUAAUAGGGACGGUCGGGGGCAUCAGUAUUCAGUUGUCAGAGGUGAAAUUCUUGGAUUUACUGAAGACUAACUACUGCGAAAGCAUUUGCCAAGGACGUUUUCAUUAA
This 374-nucleotide ribosomal RNA is filed under the name uncultured eukaryote. RNAcentral describes it as "partial 18S ribosomal RNA". It matches the Rfam family "Eukaryotic small subunit ribosomal RNA", at positions 592 to 976 of the family's 1831-position model. The record is from RNAcentral.